RNAcentral lists this ribosomal RNA (88 nucleotides) under Acinetobacter baumannii. Its description in RNAcentral is "partial 16S ribosomal RNA". It matches the Rfam family "Bacterial small subunit ribosomal RNA", at positions 1 to 87 of the family's 1533-position model. Lineage: Bacteria; Pseudomonadati; Pseudomonadota; Gammaproteobacteria; Moraxellales; Moraxellaceae. RNAcentral also lists the same sequence under 1 other name. The record is from RNAcentral.
UAACUGAAGAGUUUGAUCAUGGCUCAGAUUGAACGCUGGCGGCAGGCUUAACACAUGCAAGUCGAGCGGGGGAAGGUAGCUUGCUACC